AGAGUUUGAUCCUGGCUCAGAUUGAACGCUGGCGGCAUGCCUUACACAUGCAAGUCGAACGGUAACAGGUCUUCGGAUGCUGACGAGUGGCGAACGGGUGAGUAAUACAUCGGAACGUGCCCGAUCGUGGGGGAUAACGAAGCGAAAGCUUUGCUAAUACCGCAUACGAUCUACGGAUGAAAGUAGGGGACCGCAAGGCCUUGCGCGAACGGAGCGGCCGAUGGCAGAUUAGGUAGUUGGUGGGAUAAAAGCUUACCAAGCCGACGAUCUGUAGCUGGUCUGAGAGGACGACCAGCCACACUGGGAC
RNAcentral lists this ribosomal RNA (307 nucleotides) under uncultured Comamonadaceae bacterium. RNAcentral describes it as "bacterial SSU rRNA". It matches the Rfam family "Bacterial small subunit ribosomal RNA", at positions 8 to 319 of the family's 1533-position model. Lineage: Bacteria; Pseudomonadati; Pseudomonadota; Betaproteobacteria; Burkholderiales; Comamonadaceae. The record is from RNAcentral.